GUCUUCUCCACCAUGUCCAUGAUACAGUUCAAGCGAGGGCAGCCUUCAGCGCCUCGGAGGGACCAGGACGCACCAGACGCUCCCCCAGCCCACUCGGCCAGAGCCCUGGACAGGAUGGGUGCCCGACCAGCCCACCACCCAUGAGGGUAAGGGGGUUCCAGGACUGAAGCCGCACAGGCCACUCCCACAGGUCACCAGAAACUAAGACGUGAGUGACGCCCGGCAGUGGCCGACUCUUUCGUGGUAGCUGCGCCCAUGACUUCUGGAGACAUCAGAGGCUUCCAGGCCCGUUUUCUGCAUUCAGCCACGGCCCACGCUUCCGGGUCUGGGGUCUCCCUCUU
This 341-nucleotide non-coding RNA is filed under the name Pongo abelii (Sumatran orangutan). Lineage: Eukaryota; Metazoa; Chordata; Mammalia; Primates; Hominidae. The record is from RNAcentral.